CAAAGGUAUUUUUUAAACUGGACUAAUUCUCAUAUGGACUUUUAUUAUUGCUUGUGUUGGAUGGUUUUAGUUCAGGCUAUUAUGAGUUUAACCCUGAUGUACAAAGGAAUCCAGAGGAUAUCGUUUUAACAGAAAACCUUUUAGGGCAUUGACUGAACCUGCUCUCUUUCCUCAUAUAAAGGUUGGAGGAAAGAGUCUCCAAGGUGACACAGCUUGGUGUCAAUAGGAGAAGGUCGCACGGCUUUAGAAGGCUCCAUGGUUUCAGGGACCAAGGAAAAAAGCCUCCCAGCAUCAUCUGCACUCAAUCAGAAUAAUUAUCCCGAGAAAUGCACGGCAGAGCCCGUGAGAGGUGAGGGGAAUGAAGUACAGAGGCUAUUGGCAAUCACCUCUCUCCAGUCAUUAUUAGUCAUCGCUCGGCUGCGCUGGAAGAGGACCCAGACGGCUUGGGAGGAAGCCACGAGCAGCUGACAGACAGACGGACAGACGGACGGACGCACAGAGAAAAGGCCUGAUGUGACUCCAGUGCCCAGAAAGUCUCAGCAAUCUGUGAAGGCUCUGGCAGCACAGCGGCUCCUCUGUGGACUGGCACGCAUCCGCACACGUGUAUCAGCCUUUCCCCUCAGCCACAGACUGCCGAAGCAUUGGUCUCGUCACUCUCUAGAUGUGGAAGCUUUAAAAACACUCCAAGCACCCAGAAAACACCUUUUUGUUUCCUCCUUAUAAAAACAAAUCCUCCAGGAGGAUGGUGCGUUUGGGGUCCUGUCAGGAUUUGUGAAUACUCCAUAAAGGAGUUUUAGUGGAACAUUGUGGGGUUCCUGUAGCUCACAAUAAAACAAUCCUCAAAGCCCUCUAACUUUUUAAA
RNAcentral lists this long non-coding RNA (862 nucleotides) under Betta splendens (Siamese fighting fish). RNAcentral's name for it is "lncRNA (ENSBSLG00000010811.1)". Lineage: Eukaryota; Metazoa; Chordata; Actinopteri; Anabantiformes; Osphronemidae. The record is from RNAcentral.